RNAcentral lists this ribosomal RNA (484 nucleotides) under uncultured bacterium. Its description in RNAcentral is "partial 16S ribosomal RNA". It matches the Rfam family "Bacterial small subunit ribosomal RNA", at positions 29 to 507 of the family's 1533-position model. The record is from RNAcentral.
AUUGAACGCUGGCGGCAUGCUUUACACAUGCAAGUCGAACGGCAGCGCGGGCUUCGGCCUGGCGGCGCGUGGCGAACGGGUGAGUAAUACAUCGGAACGUGCCCAGUAGUGGGGGAUAGCUCGGCGAAAGCCGGAUUAAUACCGCAUACGACCUGAGGGUGAAAGCGGGGGAUCUUCGGACCUCGCGCUAUUGGAGCGGCCGAUGGCAGAUUAGCUAGUUGGUGGGGUAAAGGCCUACCAAGGCGACGAUCUGUAGCUGGUCUGAGAGGCCGACCAGCCACACUGGGACUGAGACACGGCCCAGACUCCUACGGGAGGCAGCAGUGGGGAAUUUUGGACAAUGGGCGAAAGCCUGAUCCAGCAAUGCCGCGUGUGUGAUGAAGGCCUUCGGGUUGUAAAGCACUUUUGGCGGGAACGAAAAGGACUGUGCCAAUACCACGGUUCGAUGACGGUACCCGCAGAAUAAGCACCGGCUAACUACGUG